CCUACGGGUGGCAGCAGUGAGGAAUAGUGGUCAAUGGCCGGAAGGCUGAACCAGCCAAGCCGCGUGAGGGAGGAAGGCGCAGAGCGUCGCAGACCUCUUUUGCCGGGGGACAAAAGGCCGGACUCGUCCGGUCCUGAGGGGACCCGGAGAAAAAGCAUCGGCUAACUCCGUGCCAGCAGCCGCGGUAAUACGGAGGAUGCGAGCGUUCUCCGGAUUCAGUGGGUUUACAGGGUGCGUAGAGGGGUUGUUAAGUCAGUUGUGAAAGUUUGCGGCUCAACCGUAAAAUUGCAAUUGAUACUGGCAGUCUUGCGUACAGUUGAGUUAGGCGGACUUCGUGGUGUAGCGGUGACAUUCUUAGAUAUCACGAAGAACUCCGAUUGCGACGGCAGCUUACUACACUGCCACUGACAUUGAUGCUCGAACGUGUGGGUAUCAAACAGGAUUAGCUACCCCGGUAGUC
This 460-nucleotide ribosomal RNA is filed under the name uncultured bacterium. RNAcentral's name for it is "partial 16S ribosomal RNA". It matches the Rfam family "Bacterial small subunit ribosomal RNA", at positions 338 to 795 of the family's 1533-position model. The record is from RNAcentral.